GACGAACGCUGGCGGCGUGCUUAACACAUGCAAGUCGAACGGAAAGGCCCUGCUUUUGUGGGGUGCUCGAGUGGCGAACGGGUGAGUAACACGUGAGUAACCUGCCCUUGACUUUGGGAUAACUUCAGGAAACUGGGGCUAAUACCGGAUAGGAGCUCCUGAUGCAUGGUGGGGGUUGGAAAGUUUCGGCGGUUGGGGAUGGACUCGCGGCUUAUCAGCUUGUUGGUGGGGUAGUGGCUUACCAAGGCUUUGACGGAUAGCCGGCCUGAGAGGGUGACCGGCCACAUGGGGAAUGCGAUACGGCCCAGACUCCUACGGGAGGCAGCAGUGGAGAAUCGUGCACAAUGGGCGGAAGCCUGAUACAGCCACGCCGCGUGCGGGAUGCCGUCCUUCUGGUUGUAAACCGCUUUCGCCUGUGACGAAGCGUGAGUGACGGUACUGGGUAAAGAAGCACCGGCUAACUACGUG
This 468-nucleotide ribosomal RNA is filed under the name uncultured bacterium. RNAcentral describes it as "partial 16S ribosomal RNA". It matches the Rfam family "Bacterial small subunit ribosomal RNA", at positions 28 to 507 of the family's 1533-position model. The record is from RNAcentral.